RNAcentral lists this ribosomal RNA (473 nucleotides) under uncultured bacterium. Its description in RNAcentral is "bacterial SSU rRNA". It matches the Rfam family "Bacterial small subunit ribosomal RNA", at positions 340 to 793 of the family's 1533-position model. The record is from RNAcentral.
UACGGGAGGUCAGCAGUGGGGGAAUAUUGCUACAAUGGGCGUCAAGCCUGAUGCUAGCCAUGCCGCGUGUAUGGAAGAAGGUCCUUCGGGUUGUAAAGGUACUUUCAGCAGUGUAGGAAGGUGGGGUAUGUUAAUAGCAUACUCAUUUGACGUUAGCUGCAGAAGAAGCACCGGCUAACUCCGUGCCAGCAGCCGCGGUAAUACGGAGGGUGCGAGCGUUAAUCGGAAUUACUGGGCGUAAAGCGCAUGCAGGUGGUUUGUUAAGUCAGAUGUGAAAGCCCGGGGCUCAACCUCGGAAUUGCAUUUGAAACUGGCAAACUAGAGUACUGUAGAGGGGGGUAGAAUUUCAGGUGUAGCGGUGAAAUGCGUAGAGAUCUGAAGGAAUACCGGUGGCGAAGGCGGCCCCCUGGACAGAUACUGACACUCAGAUGCGAAAGCGUGGGGGAGCAAACAGGAUUAGAUACCCCUGGUAG